RNAcentral lists this ribosomal RNA (253 nucleotides) under uncultured bacterium. Its description in RNAcentral is "partial 16S ribosomal RNA". It matches the Rfam family "Bacterial small subunit ribosomal RNA", at positions 524 to 776 of the family's 1533-position model. The record is from RNAcentral.
UACAGAGGGGGCAAGCGUUAUUCGGAAUUAUUGGGCGUAAAGGGCGCGUAGGCGGCCUGGCAAGUGGAUGGUGAAAUCCCUCGGCUUAACCGAGGAACUGCCAUCCAGACUGCUUGGCUUGAGACCGGGAGAGGUGAGUGGAAUUCCCAGUGUAGCGGUGAAAUGCGUAGAUAUUGGGAGGAACACCAGUGGCGAAGGCGGCUCACUGGGCCGGUACUGACACUGAGGCGCGAAAGCGUGGGGAGCGAACAGG